Molecule: ribosomal RNA, 466 nt
Filed under: uncultured bacterium
Lineage: Bacteria
Description: partial 16S ribosomal RNA
Rfam family: Bacterial small subunit ribosomal RNA
Source: RNAcentral
GACGAACGCUGGCGGCGUGCUUAACACAUGCAAGUCGAACGGAAAGGCCCUGCUUUUGUGGGGUGCUCGAGUGGCGAACGGGUGAGUAACACGUGAGUAACCUGCCCUUGACUUUGGGAUAACUUCAGGAAACUGGGGCUAAUACCGGAUAGGAGCUCCUGCUGCAUGGUGGGGGUUGGAAAGUUUGGGCGGGUGGGGAUGGACUCGCGGCUUAUCAGCUUGUGGGGGGGGUAGGGGCUUACCAAGGCUUUGAGGGGUAGCCGACCUGAGAGGGUGACCGGCCACAUGGAGUCUGAGAUGCGGCCGAGACUCCUACGGGGGACAGCAGUGGGAAAUAGUGCACAAGGGGCGAGAGCCUGACACAGCCACGCCGCGUGCGAUGUGGCGGCUUCCGUGUUGUAAACCUUUUUCGCCUGACACUGAGCGUGUGUCGCUGUAAUGUAUAAAGAAGCACCCUCUAUCCGCG